Molecule: ribosomal RNA, 253 nt
Filed under: uncultured bacterium
Lineage: Bacteria
Description: partial 16S ribosomal RNA
Rfam family: Bacterial small subunit ribosomal RNA
Source: RNAcentral
UACGAAGGGGGCUAGCGUUGCUCGGAAUCACUGGGCGUAAAGCGCACGUAGGCGGCUUGUUAAGUCAGGGGUGAAAUCCUGGAGCUCAACUCCAGAACUGCCUUUGAUACUGGCGAGCUUGAGUUCGGGAGAGGUGAGUGGAACUGCGGGUGUAGAGGUGAAAUUCGUAGAUAUUCGCAAGAACACCAGUGGCGAAGGCGGCUCACUGGCCCGAUACUGACGCUGAGGUGCGAAAGCGUGGGGAGCAAACAGG